Cricetulus griseus (Chinese hamster) is the source of this 328-nucleotide unclassified non-coding RNA. Its record names the gene 7SK. It matches the Rfam family "7SK RNA". Rfam says of the family: 7SK was discovered as an abundant small nuclear RNA in the mid-70s but a possible function has only recently been suggested. NCBI's taxonomy places the organism in Eukaryota, Metazoa, Chordata, Mammalia, Rodentia, Cricetidae. The record is from Ensembl.
GGAUAUGAAGGUGAUCUGGCUGCAAAAUUGCAAAAUGUUAUGUUGAUCAUCAGGGUAGGUUGGCUGAUCUGGCUACCUCUGACAAUGUCCCCUGCCUUCUCUCAUUGGUCCAUUUGCAUCUUCCUGAAGCUGAAUACUUGCUCAAAGAGCCUGGCCUCUGAUAGAAGAAGACUAUUGUUUGGUCAACUAAAUAGGAAUAGUUGAGCUCCCCUGCUAGCAUAUCCUAACAAGUUCUCAAUGAAAAUGUUUUAAGGAUGCAAGGGAGUGAGAAACACCUCACCUCUAAAGAUCAGAAAUAGUCAUUGCAUCUUCAAGCAUGAAAAACUAU